UCUUUUGAUAAACAUAUAAGUGGCAUUCGAAUAGAGCGAAACGUCAGUACAGCUAGCUCUUGAGUCGAAAAGGAGUUCGUCAGAAUUCUCAAGAUAGUUCAUCAGAUGUUUAAGAUGAAGUCAGUGGCGUUGUCCAUCGUUGUCUUGACAGUAACUGGUCUACUUUUGAGGUUAUCACCUACUGCUACUGCAGAUUGUCUGAACUGCUCUGAUGAAAGGAAGAUAUGUUUUAAUCUUUGCGGUAAUGACCAAAAGUGUGUGAAUAACUGCAACCAAGUAUUUUCAGAUUGUCUUACAAGUAACACAAUCAAUAAUUGCAAUAGUGUACGGCGAUUUCUUCUUCGAGACGUUACAGAAGAAAAUGAUAAAAACCCGGAGCUACAGCCAGAUUACGAAACAUUGUUUAAGGCAGUAAACUGAGUCUUAAAUUUAACUGAAACAACAGAAAAUGAGGAUGAGUCUGAGAUUCCUGUAAAAUGAACAAGGAACACCGAUUGAGUUCCGUUAAAUGCAAUAGCUAACUGUAAUACUCAAUUGUCUUACUUUUUUCGUGUAAAAGUUGCCAUAAAGAAAUUCAUUAAACCAGGAUAACAAAUCGUG
This is a long non-coding RNA of Stylophora pistillata, 600 nucleotides long. RefSeq lists it as uncharacterized. NCBI's taxonomy places the organism in Eukaryota, Metazoa, Cnidaria, Anthozoa, Scleractinia, Pocilloporidae. The record is from RefSeq and is a predicted model, not a curated record.